CCUGUCCCCUGUUCCAUCUCAGAAUCCCUGUCCCAUCUCAGAAUCCCUGUCCUGUUGAGUGGAUGCCCCAUUCGACAUUCCCUGAUCCCAGAAUUCCAAGGCUAUGUCCCAAAAUGCCAGCCUAUUCCCUAUAUAGUGAACUACUACUGACCAGCGCUCAGAGAAUAGGGUGCCAUUUGGAACACAAGCCAAGGCAUUUCUUCUCAUCCCAGGGUCAGGUCAUUCCGAAACCAGUUUUUAAACUCUCUAUGCCAAACUAAGAAGAAAAACGACUUUAUUUUUUAAAACCAAAGCAAUUUUUAUUGUUACUAUCAGGAGCGCUAGUUACACAAUAUCUAACGUAUUGUUAUGUAGCAGAGUCUAUGAGGUAGAUGGAAUACAAUAUCUAAGGUAUUGUUAUGUACCAGAGUCUAUGAGGUAGAUGGAAUACAAUAUCUAAGGUAUUGUUAUGUACCAGAGUCUAUGAGGUAGAUGGAAUACAAUAUCUAACGUAUUGUUAUGUAGCAUAGUCUAUGAGUUAGAUGGAAUACAAUAUCUAACGUAUUGUUAUGUAGCAUAGUCUAUGAGUUAGAUGGAAUACAAUAUCUAAGGUAUUGUUAUGUACCAGAGUCUAUGAGGUAGAUGGAAUACAAUAUCUAACGUAUUGUUAUGUACCAGAGUCUAUGAGUUAGAUGGAAUACAAUAUCUAAGGUAUUGUUAUGUACCAGAGUCUAUGAGGUAGAUGGAAUACAAUAUCUAAGGUAUUGUUAUGUACCAGAGUCUAUGAGGUAGAUGGAAUACAAUAUCUAAGGUAUUGUUAUGUACCAGAGUCUAUGAGGUAGAAGGAAUACAAUAUCUAACGUAUUGUUAUGUACCAGAGUCUAUGAGUUAGACGGAAUGUAAAAAAAUAUUAGGUCUUCUAAACACACACACAGGCUGGGGAGGAGCGAGAAAAGGCCACGUUAUAUUAACACAAAUAAACAGGAUGUUUACAUAAUCACUAUUAUGUGAGGUAGCAGCGCAAAUCUUCUCAUUUCCACAAGCCAGAGUUGAGAAGUAUAUAGAUGUUAGAUAGCUAAUAUGGAUAUGUGUGUUCAUGUGUGUAUUGGCUGCAUCCUACACGUUUGCUUACAACCCUUAUUGAGUUAUUUUAAAGUGCUUUUUUUUUAAAGUGCUUUAUAUAUAUAGCUUGCCCUUUAAGACUCUAAUCACAUAUAUAGAUGGUACUUUAUUUAUUUAGCUAAAUCAGUCACUGUCUAAAGAACAUGAACAACGUAACACUCUACGCUGAGUUUUGGGAGAUGGAGGGACAUCGUUUCCAUACAGAAUAAACAAAUCCCAACCUACCAGCAUCUCUCGUGAACAAGCGGCAUCGUGGGACACAGGAGGACCAACUGACAAACUAACAGGAAUCAUUCUCCUCCUUCCUCAAGAGCGUUCAACACAAAGGCUUCUGGAUAGUCUGGGCCAUAGUCAUCGGUCAUUGUAGACCCUGUUAGUGCGAACCACACUGGACUUCAUAUCCUAGAGGUGAUAUUGUAUGCUUCUGCCCCACAACAUGUCUACUGUACAGACCAGCACUUUUUGGAUCAACUUCCUCUUGAUUUCCUGUUUAAGUUUCUUAUCUUCACUUCCUGUUUCUGACCGUAAUUAGGAAGUGGGAAGAAUUGAUAAGAUAGAAGUCUUUCUGAUGUCUUGUGGUAGAAUCUCCCACCCAGGACACACCCACGCAUGGAUGUCCACCAAAACACACAGGCCUAUGUCUGAUUAUUGGGUACUGACUGCCACCUGGGUGAACUUUAACCUUUAGCCCCUGAGGUUAUGUGGUCAGGUCACUGUUCUCUCAGCAAUGUAAACCUCAGCAGCGCAGAUAUAUUGUAUUCUCAAGUAUUUUACAUUUUAGUCAUUUAGCAGACGCUCUUAUCCAGAGCGACUUACAGUAGUGAAUACAUACAUUUCGUGCAUUUGUUUUUUUGUACUGGCCCCCCGUGGGAAUCAAACCCACAACCCUGGCGUUGCGCACACCAUGCUGGCGUUGCAAACACCAUGCUCUACCAACUGAGCCACAGGGAAAGUAUCUUCAACAACCAGUAGAUGGCGUCUGAUUGGUUCCUGUUCAACCAGUAGGUGACAUCUGAUUGGUUCCUGUUCAACCAAUAGAUGACAUCUGAUUGGUUCCUGUUCAACCAGUAGGUGACAUCUGAUUGGUUCCUGUUCAACCAAUAGAUGACAUCUGAUUGGUUCCUGUUCAACCAAUAGAUGACAUCUGAUUGGUUCCUGUUCAACCAGUAGGUGACAUCUGAUUGGUUCCUGUUCAACCAGUAGGUGACAUCUGAUUGGUUCCUGUUCAACCAGUAGAUGCCGUCUGAUUGGUUCCUGUUCAACCAGUAGGUGACAUCUGAUUGGUUCCUGCACAAGCUCAAACUCAAAAGUGUAUUGUGAUCUCAUUUGCUGAUAAGGACAUUUCUUCUGGUCAACAGUUUUGCAUAUCGUCAUGUGAUCUGGACACACCGGUCUCUUAUUGGCCAGGACUCCUAUAUUACUUCUUAAAUCAGCCCUCUCUCAUUUCUUAUUGGUUGCUGUUACAUGCACACAAUAAUGUGAUUAUUGUGAAUAGUCAGAUUAAUAUAAUAGUUUGUUUAAAUGUUGUAUGCUUUGCAAGAAGAACAAUUUCCCUAAAAAUCCUGUUUACAUGGACACAUCUGAAAUCAGGCUACCUGAUGGGAUUUUUGAUAAAAGCGGAAAAUUUCCAAUCAAAAUAAUCGUUCUACCACAGUAACCAGGUUAUUUUUGCGAAGCCUAUUUGAUUCUGAGCAUGGAUAAAUAACGUUUUUUCCGUAUUCACUUCACUCAUACAUAAGAGGGAGGCUUGAGCUGCUGGCAGAUCAAAUACACAGCUGGAACGCCGAUUAAGCUGUUUACACGUCCCAAUAAUUUGAAAGUUUGCUUCAGAAAAUCAGCAAAUGCUUACUUUGAUUUUAACCUUACACCGGUUAAGAUAAGCUGAGUAAUGUGUUUACAUGUUUUUUCCGUACUCGGCCUUCUGCCAUAAUGAGUUGAAUAUAGCAUCUGUUCGGGCGAUACUUUUUGGGGCGGCAGGUAGCCUAGUGGUUAGAGUGGAGGGGCGACAGGUAGCCUAGUGGUUAGAGUGGAGGGGCGGCAGGUAGCCUAGUGGUUAGAGUGGAGGGGAGGCAGGUAGCCUAGUGGUUAGAGUGGUGGGGCGGUAGGUAGCCUAGUGGUUAGACCGUUGUUGCCAGUAACUGAAAGGUUGCUGGAUUGAAUCCCUGAGCUGACAAGGUAAAAAUCUGUCGUUCUGCCCCCUGAACAAGGCAGUUAACCCACUGUUCCCCAGUAGGUCGUCAUUGUAAAUAAGAAUUUGUUCUUAACUGACUUGCCUAGUUAAAUAAAAUAAAAAAUUAAAUAUCACAUUAUUUGUGUGCAUGUAAACGUACUCAAUGUUUCUAAUGUUCUAUGCUAGUUGGCUGCAAUGACCAAACUUCCAUAAUGAAAAAUAUUUCAACAAAUUUUGUUAACACUGUUGAUUGACUGAAUUUCAGUUCAGAGUCAAAUUUAUCACAUGCUUUCAUGGCGCCAUUGUACACGCAACAAAUAAUGACAUGAAGGAUUUCUUUAAGCAGUAGCUUUUAUGUUGUGACCACGAGGAAUAUCACUGAGACCAAACAUGUCCAUUUAAGAUGAAGGCUGGCGUAUCGUAAACAAUCUUUAGUGGUUCUGUAGAUACUGGCCAUUGGAACGCUGUGGAGAGAGAUUCUGUAGACUCUGGCCAUUGGAACGCUGUGGAGAGAGAUUCUGUAGACUCUGGCCAUUGGAACCUGCUGUGGAGAG
This 3825-nucleotide long non-coding RNA is filed under the name Salmo salar (Atlantic salmon). RNAcentral's name for it is "lncRNA (ENSSSAG00000114186.1)". The record is from RNAcentral. Lineage: Eukaryota; Metazoa; Chordata; Actinopteri; Salmoniformes; Salmonidae.